This 433-nucleotide ribosomal RNA is filed under the name uncultured bacterium. RNAcentral describes it as "partial 16S ribosomal RNA". It matches the Rfam family "Bacterial small subunit ribosomal RNA", at positions 29 to 507 of the family's 1533-position model. The record is from RNAcentral.
AACGAACGCUGGCGGCAUGCCUAACACAUGCAAGUCGAACGAGACCUUCGGGUCUAGUGGCGCACGGGUGCGUAACGCGUGGGAACCUGCCCUUAGGUUCGGAAUAACUUCUCGAAAGGGGUGCUAAUAACGGAUAAUGUCUUCGGACCAAAGAUUUAUCGCCUUUGGAUGGGCCCGCGUUGGAUUAGCUAGUUGGUAGGGUAAAAGCCUACCAAGGCGACGAUCCAUAGCUGGUCUGAGAGGAUGGUCAGCCACACUGGGACUGAGACACGGCCCAGACUCCUACGGGAGGCAGCAGUGGGGAAUAUUGGACAAUGGGCGAAAGCCUGAUCCAGCAAUGCCGCGUGAGUGAUGAAGGCCUUAGGGUUGUAAAGCUCUUUUACCCGGGAUGAUAAUGACAGUACCGAGAGAAUAAGCUCCGGCUAACUCCGUG